AGCGGGUUAAUCUAAAAUUAAGAUAGCGAACUUCAAAUUCGAAUAUAAGCACGGUGCUUACUCGUUG
Molecule: transfer RNA, 67 nt
Filed under: Tridacna crocea
Lineage: Eukaryota; Metazoa; Mollusca; Bivalvia; Cardiida; Cardiidae
Description: tRNA-Trp
Source: RNAcentral